This 390-nucleotide ribosomal RNA is filed under the name uncultured soil bacterium. RNAcentral's name for it is "bacterial SSU rRNA". It matches the Rfam family "Bacterial small subunit ribosomal RNA", at positions 26 to 411 of the family's 1533-position model. The record is from RNAcentral.
AGGACGAACGCUGGCGGCGUGCUUAACACAUGCAAGUCGAGCGGAAAGGCCUUUCGGGGUACUCGAGCGGCGAACGGGUGAGUAACACGUGAGUAAUCUGCCCAUCGCUUCAGGAUAGCCAUCGGAAACGGUGAUUAAUACUGGAUAUGACAUUCCUUCGCAUGUUGGGGUGUGGUAAAGUUUUUCGGCGGUGGAUGUGCUCGCGGCCUAUCAGUCUUGGUUGGUGGGGUAAUGGCCUACCAAGGCUUUGACGGGUAGCCGGCCUGAGAGGGUGACCGGCCACACUGGGACUGACGACACGGCCAGACCGUCCGUACGGGAGCAGCGAGGUAGGGAUAGUUGGACAAGUUGGACGGAACGCCUGAUCCAGCCAACGCCGGACGGUGAGGG